This is a regulatory RNA element of Neotoma lepida (desert woodrat), 46 nucleotides long. It matches the Rfam family "Histone 3' UTR stem-loop". Rfam says of the family: The mRNAs of metazoan histone genes lack a poly-A tail. 3' end processing occurs at a site between a highly conserved stem-loop (modelled by this family) and a purine rich region around 20 nts downstream (the histone downstream element, or HDE). NCBI's taxonomy places the organism in Eukaryota, Metazoa, Chordata, Mammalia, Rodentia, Cricetidae. The record is from Rfam.
ACAACGGCUCUUUUCAGAGCCACUCACUCUAUCAAAACAGAGUUGU